UUUGAGGUGAUUGCAGACGCUGCCCACUCAGGUUCCCGUAGCAGCUGCAGCAAUUCAAAACAGGAAGUCGCUCUCUGUUGUUCGGCGGGGACCGGAAAAGCUAAACCAAAACAAGCCGUAUUGCGUUACUGUCGCGCAGCAGAGCUUUUACAAAGUGUACAACAAGAUGAAAGACAAAUAAAACACACGACAGAGAGAGAGAGAUUCGUCGUAAGAAACCGAUUUAUUUGACGAGCUCGGCGAGACGUUUAUUUAGAAGGUAGAACGGCUGACAGAUCCGCUGCUGAAGCGCCUUACGGUGUCUGGUGGACAGAGACAGAGCUACGAUUUGAAGAGUUUGUUUGACCCGCCUACCUAAGUAGCGUCAUUCAAUCAAUCGCUCACUCAUCUCAUUCAUAAAAACUGCACAGGAAGAAAAUAGGCAUAUAUUUAAAAAUGUAUUUUUAUUGACAAUAUGACUAUAUAUAUAUAUAUAUAAAAUAUUUAAUCAAAUAUAUGACUAAUUUAUUUAUAACAAAUUAUUAAAAUCUAGAUAUGUAUUAUGUACUUGACUUACUCUGUCACUCCGCUGAGUACAUUCUCCAACUGCUUGUCAUAAACACUGAAUCAGCUAAUCAUUCAUGUACCACCCAGUAACUGCAUCAAUCUCUCUGAUUGGACUGUUCAAUACAACUAAUUAUUAUUAUUAAUAAUAAUAAUAAUAAUAAUAAUAAUAAUAAUAAUAACAACAACAAUAAUUCUGGCCUUUGUAUACACAAGUGUCAAUGGGGUUUCUCAUGUGAAUUUUUCUUCUGAUGUGUGACGCAGGUAUUUCGAUUCCUGUCCGGCUGUUGCCGAUGGUACAACGCUAGGUCAGUGGGGUUUCUCAUGUUAUUUCUUUGUUCAAAAGGUCUGCCUGUCACUCGGAACAGAGAAACAAAGCCCGAAAUAAGUUAUUUAAAUUUUUAUUUCGGGCUUUGCGAGUGACAUUCGGGAACCAAAAAGAUUUUAAACAAAUAAGUGAUUUAUUUUAUUUAUUUAUUUUUUUUUUGAUAAGAUGCUCUGGUAAACCUCAUUUUUGCUGUUCAAUCUUUUUCAAGUUACUGUUUUUGUAAUGGUAAAGCCACAAAAUUGGACAGGUGUUUCAGCAUAAAACAUAGAAUAUUUACUAACUGCGGAAUGCUGUACAGUACCAGUAAUUCCAACAUGCAGCUUAUUAAAGGGAAGUGCUAAACAAACAAUAACAUGUACAAAAAUGUAAUAAUAUGACUUGCUUAUUGAUAGAUAGAUAUAUUGACAUAUGUAUGUUAACAGUAAAAUAGUCCGUGCUCGGAUUUGUUUUAAAUGUAGUGUUGGAUUCUAAAGAAUGUUUCUCACGUUUUGUCAUCAGACUGCUGAGCUCAGUUAUCACAGCAAAACCAGCUGCUAUGAGACUUUUGGAAAGUAAACGCUCACUCUAGCAGGUCAAUGAUUGGUGCUGAUACGUUGAAACAAUAAGCACCCGCCUUCACAUGGCAAUGCUUAGGGCUAAUUGGAUGAAACACUGAGGGGCUUGUUUACAAAAGUGCAUGUAAAGUAGUGAGCCUAACGUGUGGGAUAAAUCUAAAUUUACUGCCCUAUUUACUAACGGAGAACACAUUCAUUUAUACGCACAGUAUUUGGCUUGCACUGAAUUUAGUGCGAGCAAUAAUGCGCACCAUAAUGUCCCAGACUACACGUGACCACCUUCAUAUAAAAGCCCCAGCAGUCCAGGCGUAUUUUUUGGUAGCUUAUUGUGAAAGGUGGAGGUGGCUUACAUUGACCGAAAAUGAGCAAUCAAGACACAGCUAAAUGACAUACUUUAAAAUAAGUUAAUACUCUAAAGCAGGGGUGUCAAACAUACGGCUCGCUGGGGCAAUUUUUGGCGGCCCGCCAAUUAGUUUUUAAAAUUGAUGUACUGUAUCGUUUUGGAAUUCUUCUUUUAAAUAACCCGCCUCUUUAAUAUAACACGCGUAUUCAAUAUGUGCAGUCUGCAUUGUAUGACCAUUAAGCCAAUCACAGCUCACAGAGGAAGUAGAAUAGCCAAUCAAAUGGCGCACAUGAUCUGUUUCCUCACACACGUGUAACAGCACAGCACACAUAGUUUUGACUAGGAUAGCGAAGCGAAGGCUUGUUUAAACUAUUUAUUUUACUUUGUGUAAAAUAUAAAAUCAGUAGCCAAACAGAGUAAUUGGAGAUGUCACAGAAGCGAAAGGUGGAGGCGGAACGCAGAAGAUUCGAAAAUUGUUAGCCAGAUUAUUAUUUCACUGAAUAAUUGACGGCAAGGCAAUAUGUCUGAUUUGCAGUGCAAUGGUUGCAGUUAUGAAAGACGGAUUAAAACAUCCAACGUCACUAUGAUACGCAGCGCAAAGGUUUUUCUGAAAAUUAGAAGAAAAAAUGAAAGUGCUGUGGAUGCCAGUUUUAUUGUUAGCAAAGAGAUUGCAUGGGCUGCAACAUUUUUCACAUGGUGAAUUUGUUAAAAGGUGCAUGCUUAAAACAGUUGAUGUCCUAUGCCCUGAAAAAAGUGAAAAUUGUUUCUAACGUCAGUCUGCCUCGUAACACGGUUGCUGAGCGUAUUGCCGAAAUGGCAGGUAAUAACUUUAAUGUUGUUGAAGAGCUUUGAAGUUUCAGCAUGAACAACACAACCACAGGAAAGGAAACUUUUUAACUUCAAGAAGCCAUGGAAAGUGCAGAAUUACUUUGGAAGAAACUAACUGGGAUUACAGCACAGGGUGCGCCAUGUAUGACUGGGCCAAAGAGUGGACUGGCUAGCAGAGGACUGGAAAAAAAUAAAGAAAGAAAUGCAGAAGUACCAAUUGUCUUACACUGCAUUCUGCAUCAACAGGCAUUAUGUGAAAAAGUUGUAGAAUUAGAACAAUAAUGAGCAUUAUCAAGUGUGCGAGAAAAGAACUGCCUGGACAGAAGGCAUAAAAAGGUACAUUUCAUAGUGGUACGGUUUACUAAAUCGCAUUUUCACAGCUUGCCAGUAUCUUUUUUUUUUUUUCCGUGCUGUUAAAAACGUUUUGGAAUAUGUUAAAUAUUGAGACUUGGCAUUAUAUACUGACAGUUUUUUUUUACUGUUUGAGAUUUCCAUUGAAAGUAAAAUACUCUUCUAUUUCCUCCAUUAUAUUACAUUUGUGAUACUGAGUUGUUUUUUUUUGGUCAGCAUUCUAAGAAAGCUACUUCUAGUUAUAUCUGACUAUUUAUGUAGUAUAAAAUACAUUAAGUAAUAUGUUGAUUUAAUUGAUUGAAACCUGCAUACUUAUAAUGACUAGGAAUUGUGCAGUGGGGGUAAUGUGUUUUGUGUAAAUAAUAUAUUUGAGUAUAUACAAUUUCUAUAUGCAUUUUCAGGUAUAUUAUGAUGUGUAAUUUUAUUUAUUUAUUUAUUUAUUUAUUUAUUUAUUUAUGGUGUGGCCCACCAAGUGAACAGUCUUAAUAUAAAUGCCCAUGCUGCCAGAUGAGUUUGACACCCCUGACAUAGACUUUUUCCUUUUUAAAUAAUAAUAAUAAUAAUAAACUUUAUUUUGUAUAGUGCCGUUAAAAGCAAUCAUGUCAGAGCGCUUUACAAUUUAUAGUACAGAAUUAAACACAUUUUCAUAACCAGAGUAAUUUGCAAGAUGUAUUUAUUUCGCGUUAGUGAAUCUCUGAAUCAAACGAACAAGUAAACUGAAUGAACCAAACUAAUCGAGCCAGUAAAAAGAAUCAAACUGCACAUCACUAGUUUUCAGCCCAGUAAAAGAGGUUUAAAUAAAGUUCUUAUAUUCUAACAUCCCCUUUCUGCCACGAAAAAAAAAAUGGUUUAAAGUUUUCGGUAUAAUACUGCUGUGCUUUUUCAGCCGAGAUACACUGUGAAGCCUAAUAAUCUCGCAGAAAUAGCAAAACUGUAAAACUUUUUUUUUUUAACAGCGUUACAUACAGUUCACCUUUAACACAGCGCACAGAAAAUAUUCCUUAAUGUAAGGCCGACCGAACAAACUAUAACAAGCUGAGCAUUUUUAAUGUUUCAUGCGAUGCUGCAGAUUCACUUUGUUUAAAAGAAAAAAAAAGUCAAAUAAUUAAGUAAUUAUGCUGUUAAUUUAAAUAAACUAUCAGAUUUUUUUUACAAAAAAAAAUGCGUACAGAUGUGUUGGUCAAAAAAUCCAGUAUGUGGGGAAAUUACACCACAGUCACCACACUGGUAUUGUCCCGCCACUAUUUUGAAACACACACAGAGUAAGCUCCUCAGAGUGUUAGCUAACGUUACGAAGUGCUCUCGGCGUGCAGGUUGUUCAAUAGAAAGCGCCACGUAACGCUCUGGAGCGCUCUGCCUGUUGAACGCACCCCUGCUUUCCAUACGCACUAUUCAUCGCUCACUUUAAGGUGCACACUACAAUUAUCGUCCUUUUGUAAAUGCGGUGUUAAUUAUUCAGAGUGGGGUGCCUCAUUUAAACACAUUAUCAUGCAUUACCAUACAAAUCACAGAUUCAUUCCAGUUACCAUAGUGUGGCACAAUAAAAUGAGUGCACCAUAAUAUGACCACUAUUUCGUGCGAUAAUGAAUAAAAUUGUAAUAGUAAAUAAGACAAUCGUGAACGUGCACACUCAUUUCAAUUAUCAUGCACCAUAAAGUUUAGCGCCCUUUCGUGAAUGAGGCUCUAAAUGCCAGCCCUCACACAGCAAUGCUAAUUGUUUGAAACGGCUGAUUCAUGACAAUGUUACAGGCAGUGCAGAUCAGCCAUACAGUCCUCAUACAUUAACAGUUGUGAGUUUAAACUUCUUGUGAUAAAACUUGAUGUGUCAAUGUGUCCCACGGUCCCCCCCCCGUUUAUAACGCUGUUCGGUUAUAACACUCAUUAUGUGUCCGCUGAGACCUGUGUUACAGCGAGGGAGCACUCUACCUAAAUAUUUAUUAUUAAACGAAUGUGAGUUUUUAAAUUAUUAGUAAGCACAGACGUUUUGAUAUGAAAGUUGAACAUUAAUAUCAGCAAAGAACAACUAAGUUACAAGUUUUUAAUGAAAAAAAAUAAUUAUAGCCAACUUUCACAAAAAAAAAUCAGGCUUAUGUGAUUUUGAAAUGCCAAUUUUUGGUGGGAAUUGAACUUGUUCAUGGCCCCACAGCAACAUUAACCAAUUUUUUAUUCUAAAACCCAACAUUUAAUUAACGUUCUGAUACUCUCUCUUUCUUAUCUAUUUUCUUUUAAUAGUCUUAUACUCUCCCUUCAGAUAUUUUUGCAAGUAAUACAUACAAAACAUAUGCCUAUAUUUAGGUAUUAAUAUUUCGUGCAAUCGUCUCUCCUGACCGCGUGUCGAGUUCACAUUCACUUAACGUUUUUUCCUGCUGUCGGCUAACAUUAGCCACGGUGCAGACCUUGGGUUAAACCACUAUGUUCGUGUAGGGAGAGUUUAUUGUGAUUGUUUAUAAAUGUGGCCCAUCCUCGGAAUACUUUUCCAUUUUUAGAUUUUAUUUUAAACCUUGUAAAGACAAACAGGUGCCAAACACAACAAGUUAUAAUACAUAUAUAAUGAAUGAAAAAAGUGGAGGGGAAAAAUAUAGUUUGACCCCCCCCACCAUAUUCAAAGUUGGGGGGGCACGUCCCCUGACCCAUGGGUUAGGCGCUUAUGGACAGGAUUGAUGCCAAAAGGGGUCAUCGGCCACUAUCCAGCGGUGCAGGAGUAAUAAACAGUGGAGGAGGUGGAGAUGAUGUGUGGCCAGGAUAGUUUGGAAGGUAAGUUAAUCUUAAAUUGGAAACAAUGUAAAAAAAAAAUCAAUAAUUUGUAAAUAGCAACACACAAAAAAAUCAAUAAUUUGUAAAUAGCAACACACCACUCAUCGUUUGGAGAUGUUAUCACGCUAUUCUCUCGUAUCAAAACACUAACAGAAUGUAUUCAUUGUGAAGCUGGGGAGUUGGGGUACAAGUGGUCCCCUUAUUUUAUAUAUCGCAAAUGAGUACCUAGCAAGGGUGUGGAAGUAUUGGAAGAAAAUCUAAUAUGAACUAGUGCUGUUAUUGCUAUUAGUAAUAACAUUAAAGUAAACUGUUAGUUUGAAAUAAAAAUUAGACAACGGUUAAUGGAGAUUUUGGGGCUUUAAUGGCCUCUACGAGUAUUAACCUGGCUUACAAUGUUAAAUUCAAAGAAGGUUGUACGUUUAUGAUCACAUGCUUUUGGAGAGGAACAGCAUUACACUUUCUUUCCUCUUUUCCUCUGUUUAGCUUCUUCGGAGAAUGAGAAGGCUUUCCGGUGCUGUCCACAAGUGUCGUGUUUCUCUGUUUCUCCCUCACCGGACAUCAUUCUCAUCAUUAAACACCAAGCACAUGAAUACCAAGGAAGAGAAGGCCAGGUAAAGAUAUGGCAUAUUUAAAGGAAAGCGUCUGCAAGUGUAUUCAUUGACAAGAAAGCAUGAUUGAAAUGGAGAGAGAAAGAGAGGAAUGAUGGGAGGAACAGAGGAGGAGGGAAAGAGAGGAACGGAGGAGCGAGAUAAGCCACCGGACCUUUCAAUGGAAUGUUCUGCAGUGUUUUACGACAACUUGCAGCUGCUGUCAGUAACAGAAAAAAAAUUAUUGAUGUUCAAUUAUUGUAUGAAUUAUUUUCACACGUGGCAGACAUUACAACCAGAGAGGUUUCGCUCGGUGAAGACUACAUAGAUAACCAAAUGUAUGUUUGCAUACAGGUAUAUUUGUUGGUGCUGUUUUAAAGAAAAUAAAGUUCUCUCAUUUAUUAAAACUCGGUAAAACACCAAUUUGUUCACAUACCAUUUUGUGCAUUAAACUAAAAAAACACCACUUUUUUCACAUGUGGUAGACAUUAACACAAGUACUAAUGUAUAGACACUGUAUAUAGUUAUCUAAAAGUUUGUACAUAGUAUUACGUUUUUGUUGCUAUUUAAAGAAACAAAAGCUGAAAAGUUCUGUUCAAUAUAUUACAAAGCAAUAAAACAGCAGUUUAGUCACAACAUUUUGUGUGUUCUGAAUGGUUUUGUUUCAGGAUACUGAAAUAGAAACAUCUACAACAGUGUACACAUGUAUUAGAACACCCCAUUGCUUCUGUAUUUUACUGGACUCGAUGCUUGACAAAAUUAACAACUGUACAAAAGAAAGUCUGGAUACAACUUCAAGAAAUAUGGAAGCAAAUGGCACCGGAGAUUUUGAGAAAGUACAGACACCAUGCCAAAAAGAUACCAAGCUGCUAUUGAUGCCAAAGGAGGGGCAUACUAAAUAUUAGCAUUGAAGACACUUUCAGAUAUAGCUCUGUUUUUAGGUUUGAAUUUGCUUCAUGUUUGCAAAAAUGAUUAACUGAUUUCUGUAGUAAAUGAAUACAUUUUGCGUGCAAAGCUCAAUAAAUGACAGAUCUUGGGGUGUUCUAAUACAUUUGCACACUACUGUACUCUGAGGGAGAAAAACAUUUUCUUAUUUUCUGAGGUGUUCCAAUUUGUGUUUCAGCAACAGCAUAUGGAGGAGCAUUUAGAGUAAGAAGUGUUCUGAAAAUGAUAGCGUUACACAUCCCCACGUGUUGCUACAACUGUUUAAAUAACGUACCUGUCAUUUUUCUUUUAAUUGUUGACAUCCUGACACAUUCUUACACUUAAGUCUGUUUCAAAGCUCUUUUCAAAUUGUCCGCUCUAGUGCACUGAUAGUAUCAGGAUUAUUGCCCACAUUGUCAAACAGGUAACUGCAAUAAUGUGGUACGGAACAGAAAAGCCAGAACACUGGAGCUCUUAAUGCAGUAAUUUAGAGACAGAUCUCAACCCCCAGUGCACUAGAGCGGACAUUUUGAAAAGAGCUUUGAAACGGACAUUAAAGUUACAAGGGUAAAAUGUUAUCCAGAUAUUAACAACGAAAAGAAAAAUUGCAGGGACAUUAUUUAAACAGUUGAAGCAACACGUGGGGGGCGUGUAAUGCUAUAUUUUUAUAUUAUUCUUUAAAGACUGGCAGCCACAGUUCAAAUAAUCUUUCAUUGCAUUGUUCAGACAUGAAUAAUGCAGCAUGUCAUGAUCGUUGUUGAAAGAAAAAUAACAAGUUUAAUAUAUAACAAGUAAAUAAAAGAGUUGGUAAAUAACGGCACUGUGUUUACUUCUACACCACUGACAAAGGGCUUUUGUCCGAAACGUCCUGAAAUAAAUGAUUUUUUCAAUCAUUUAAACCUUUUGUGGUUUUUCAGAAUGGUUGAUAAAAUGUCUGCGGGGAAUGUUAAAAUCUGCAGCAACAUCUUUAUUGUAUUCACCACUUUCAACACUUCCACUGUUUGCAAGGAUAAUGCACGUUUUUGCAAUGCUUCAAUGGAAAUGGCAUUGAUGACUCAAAAUGCAUCAUAGGAUCAGUAGUCCCAAAACAGCACUAAAAUACAGAACAGAGGUGCUAAUCUGGAUGCUAGUUAUUACAUUUCCCAAUAUCCUUUACACUGUUUGAACUAGGGUGAUUAGUUUUAUUUGGUAUUUUCUUUCCUGGGUUGAGGAGGAAGGCUCCAAAAUAAUUAGCAGACAGAGGACAUUUGUGUGAAGUGAAUUUGUAUUAUAAGAAUUACAAAGUAAUUUACAAUAAGCUACUGCUAAGUCUGUCCAGGACCAUGAAGAAAAUGUACAAUAUCAGGAAA
Molecule: long non-coding RNA, 8561 nt
Organism: Acipenser ruthenus (sterlet)
Lineage: Eukaryota; Metazoa; Chordata; Actinopteri; Acipenseriformes; Acipenseridae
Exons: 3
Source: RefSeq, a predicted model, not a curated record